GCUACAGCUAAUAGGAGAGAAACAGCAAGGCACAGUAAGGGGAGAAGAGACACAGACUGCCGCUGCACACAUUUGUCUAUAUAUUACUCAUUGUGAAGGAGGAGAAGCAGUGGAUGAAGACAUAUCCAUUUUCUCUGGAGGUAACCUGUGUAAACAUGCUGACACGUUGCUCUGCCUGGUUACAAAGCACCAGAUCUGCAUUCUUGACUGAUCCAGCUUGAUUUUACUCCUGUGAGAAGUAAGAAUGUUGCCUAAAGAAAAGAUGUUGAAUAACAGACAAAGACUCAGUAGGAAUGAGAAAAACAGCACAAAAGGCAGAGCAAUGAAGACCUCAAAUACUGAUACAAGGAGAGUCUACGAGAACAGGCUUUAUCCAGCCUUGAGAAGGCCAAGGCGUGUGUGGAAGAAUCUUCAUGCUACUUACACAAGCAUAACAUGAAAGACUGUCAUGAAGAUGAAGCCUGACUCUUCUUAGAGGUACACACUGGAAUGAUAAAAGGCAACUAGAAAAAUUUGUGGAUGGGAAAUUCUGAACUGAUAUUGUGAGACUGGUCAAACACUGGAACAGGCUGACCAGAGAUGCUGUAGUAUCUCAAUCCUUGAAAAUAAUAGAAACUAGACUGGCCAUGGCAUUGAGCAGUUUGCUCUACCUGGACCUGCAGCUGAUCAGCAGUUGGCCUGGACAACUGUGGACAUCCUGUCCAACCUGCAGGAUUCUGUGACUCUAAAACCAACCUAAACCUAUAAAUACGUUUCUAAGUGCAGUUAAUAGAAAAAGCAAACAUGUCAGCAUGAGUCUGAGAUCCAAUACAUAAAAAUCCUUACUCUUUUGUCACCCUAUUUAAUUGAUUUUUAUCUUUAGCCUAUAGUAUGAAACAAUAAUUUUGUGUGUGUGCGUUCAUACA
Molecule: long non-coding RNA, 905 nt
Organism: Athene cunicularia (burrowing owl)
Lineage: Eukaryota; Metazoa; Chordata; Aves; Strigiformes; Strigidae
Exons: 5
Source: RefSeq, a predicted model, not a curated record